Molecule: non-coding RNA, 113 nt
Organism: Acanthosepion pharaonis
Lineage: Eukaryota; Metazoa; Mollusca; Cephalopoda; Sepiida; Sepiidae
Source: the annotation of a GenBank genome assembly
UUACGGCCAUAUCACAGUAAAAAUCCGGUUCUCGUAAGAUCACCAAAAUUAAGCAACGUCGAACCUAGUCAGUAUCUAGAUGGGUAACCGCUUGGGAAUAUUAUGUGCUGUAA